This 444-nucleotide ribosomal RNA is filed under the name uncultured organism. RNAcentral's name for it is "partial 16S ribosomal RNA". It matches the Rfam family "Bacterial small subunit ribosomal RNA", at positions 335 to 797 of the family's 1533-position model. The record is from RNAcentral.
ACUCCUGCGGGAGGCAGCAGUGGGGAAUAUUGGACAAUGGGCGCAAGCCUGAUCCAGCCAUGCCGCGUGAGUGAUGAAGGCCCUAGGGUUGUAAAGCUCUUUCACCGGUGAAGAUAAUGACGGUAACCGGAGAAGAAGCCCCGGCUAACUUCGUGCCAGCAGCCGCGGUAAUACGAAGGGGGCUAGCGUUGUUCGGAUUUACUGGGCGUAAAGCGCACGUAGGCGGACUAUUAAGUCAGGGGUGAAAUCCCGGGGCUCAACCCCGGAACUGCCUUUGAUACUGGUAGUCUUGAGUUCGAGAGAGGUGAGUGGAAUUCCGAGUGUAGAGGUGAAAUUCGUAGAUAUUCGGAGGAACACCAGUGGCGAAGGCGGCUCACUGGCUCGAUACUGACGCUGAGGUGCGAAAGCGUGGGGAGCAAACAGGAUUAGAAACCCUGUAGUCCC